UAACGCGUGAGCAAUCUGCCUUUCAGAGGGGGAUAACAGCCGGAAACGGCUGCUAAUACCGCAUAAUGCAUCGGAUUCGCAUGUUUCUGAUGCCAAAGAUUUUAUCGCUGAAAGAUGAGCUCGCGUCUGAUUAGCUAGUUGGCGGGGUAACGGCCCACCAAGGCGACGAUCGGUAGCCGGACUGAGAGGUUGAACGGCCACAUUGGGACUGAGACACGGCCCAGACUCCUACGGGAGGCAGCAGUGGGGAAUAUUGCACAAUGGGGGAAACCCUGAUGCAGCGACGCCGCGUGGAGGAAGAAGGUCUUCGGAUUGUAAACUCCUGUUGUUGAGGAAGAUAAUGACGGUACUCAACAAGGAAGUGACGGCUAACUACGUGCCAGCAGCCGCGGUAAAACGUAGGUCACAAGCGUUGUCCGGAAUUACUGGGUGUAAAGGGAGCGCAGGCGGGAAAGCAAGUUGGAAGUGAAAUCCAUGGGCUCAACCCAUGAACUGCUUUCAAAACUGUUUUUCUUGAGUAGUGCAGAGGUAGGCGGAAUUCCCGGUGUAGCGGUGGAAUGCGUAGAUAUCGGGAGGAACACCAGUGGCGAAGGCGGCCUACUGGGCACCAACUGACGCUGAGGCUCGAAAGUGUGGGUAGCAAACAGG
This 648-nucleotide ribosomal RNA is filed under the name uncultured bacterium. RNAcentral's name for it is "bacterial SSU rRNA". It matches the Rfam family "Bacterial small subunit ribosomal RNA", at positions 111 to 776 of the family's 1533-position model. The record is from RNAcentral.